UACGGGGGGGGCAAGCGUUGUUCGGAAUUACUGGGCGUAAAGGGCUCGUAGGUGGCCAACUAAGUCAGACGUGAAAUCCCUCGGCUUAACCGGGGAACUGCGUCUGAUACUGGAUGGCUUGAGUUCGGGAGAGGGAUGCGGAAUUCCAGGUGUAGCGGUGAAAUGCGUAGAUAUCUGGAGGAACACCCGUGGCGAAGGCGGCCACCUGGGCCGACCCUGACGCUGAGGCGCGAAGGCGUGGGGAGCGAACGGG
RNAcentral lists this ribosomal RNA (253 nucleotides) under uncultured bacterium. Its description in RNAcentral is "partial 16S ribosomal RNA". It matches the Rfam family "Bacterial small subunit ribosomal RNA", at positions 524 to 776 of the family's 1533-position model. The record is from RNAcentral.